This 5896-nucleotide ribosomal RNA is filed under the name Clavibacter michiganensis subsp. michiganensis NCPPB 382. Lineage: Bacteria; Bacillati; Actinomycetota; Actinomycetes; Micrococcales; Microbacteriaceae. The record is from RNAcentral.
GCGACACGCCCGGGAUGCGGGUUGUUUUGCGGGGGUGGGGUGGUCCGCGUAAUGUCUCCUCUUGUCGCCGGAACGGGCGGGAAGCGAGAAGCUUCCGGAGCUGUUCUGGUGGUGGUGAUCCUGGUGAAACAGAAGUUGCCGUGGCCCUGAAGGGUUGCGUGUUUACCAUCAACUGAGCUAGGGUCUGAUUCUGCUUCCGACGUGAGUGCUGGGCCUUCUGGUCUGGAUCACUCCCACGGGGAGCGGUGGAGUGUGAGCUCCGAUGGCUGGCUGUGAUGGUCGGUGUCGGGAGCGUCCGUUCCUUGAGAACUCAACAGCGUGCACAAUGUCAAAUGCCAAAUACCCGUUGCGGGUGUCCUUCGGAUGCUCGUUUCGGAUUCCUUUGGAAUACAUUUAAACAAACAAGCAAGUCAGUAAUGAUUUGUUCUGUCGGUUUCAAACUUGCUGGUUCGUGUUCGAUUCCCGUUCACGUCUGGCUUUAGAUGUGCCGGUCGCUUUCGGGUGGUCGUGCGUUUAAGCAUUUAUGGAGAGUUUGAUCCUGGCUCAGGACGAACGCUGGCGGCGUGCUUAACACAUGCAAGUCGAACGGUGAUGUCAGAGCUUGCUCUGGCGGAUCAGUGGCGAACGGGUGAGUAACACGUGAGUAACCUGCCCCCGACUCUGGGAUAACUGCUAGAAAUGGUAGCUAAUACCGGAUAUGACGAUUGGCCGCAUGGUCUGGUCGUGGAAAGAAUUUCGGUUGGGGAUGGACUCGCGGCCUAUCAGGUUGUUGGUGAGGUAAUGGCUCACCAAGCCUACGACGGGUAGCCGGCCUGAGAGGGUGACCGGCCACACUGGGACUGAGACACGGCCCAGACUCCUACGGGAGGCAGCAGUGGGGAAUAUUGCACAAUGGGCGAAAGCCUGAUGCAGCAACGCCGCGUGAGGGAUGACGGCCUUCGGGUUGUAAACCUCUUUUAGUAGGGAAGAAGCGAAAGUGACGGUACCUGCAGAAAAAGCACCGGCUAACUACGUGCCAGCAGCCGCGGUAAUACGUAGGGUGCAAGCGUUGUCCGGAAUUAUUGGGCGUAAAGAGCUCGUAGGCGGUUUGUCGCGUCUGCUGUGAAAUCCCGAGGCUCAACCUCGGGUCUGCAGUGGGUACGGGCAGACUAGAGUGCGGUAGGGGAGAUUGGAAUUCCUGGUGUAGCGGUGGAAUGCGCAGAUAUCAGGAGGAACACCGAUGGCGAAGGCAGAUCUCUGGGCCGUAACUGACGCUGAGGAGCGAAAGCAUGGGGAGCGAACAGGAUUAGAUACCCUGGUAGUCCAUGCCGUAAACGUUGGGAACUAGAUGUGGGGACCAUUCCACGGUCUCCGUGUCGCAGCUAACGCAUUAAGUUCCCCGCCUGGGGAGUACGGCCGCAAGGCUAAAACUCAAAGGAAUUGACGGGGGCCCGCACAAGCGGCGGAGCAUGCGGAUUAAUUCGAUGCAACGCGAAGAACCUUACCAAGGCUUGACAUAUACCGGAAACAUGCAGAAAUGUGUGCCCCGCAAGGUCGGUAUACAGGUGGUGCAUGGUUGUCGUCAGCUCGUGUCGUGAGAUGUUGGGUUAAGUCCCGCAACGAGCGCAACCCUCGUUCUAUGUUGCCAGCACGUAAUGGUGGGAACUCAUAGGAGACUGCCGGGGUCAACUCGGAGGAAGGUGGGGAUGACGUCAAAUCAUCAUGCCCCUUAUGUCUUGGGCUUCACGCAUGCUACAAUGGCCGGUACAAAGGGCUGCGAUACCGUAAGGUGGAGCGAAUCCCAAAAAGCCGGUCUCAGUUCGGAUUGAGGUCUGCAACUCGACCUCAUGAAGUCGGAGUCGCUAGUAAUCGCAGAUCAGCAACGCUGCGGUGAAUACGUUCCCGGGCCUUGUACACACCGCCCGUCAAGUCAUGAAAGUCGGUAACACCCGAAGCCAGUGGCCUAACCGCAAGGGAGGAGCUGUCGAAGGUGGGAUCGGUGAUUAGGACUAAGUCGUAACAAGGUAGCCGUACCGGAAGGUGCGGCUGGAUCACCUCCUUUCUAAGGAGCAUGUGCACCUCUCCUCUGUAUGCAGGGAGAUCAAGGGUGCCAAGUCACGCGUCAGGCGUCUGUUCUGGCGGUGGCGCUCAUGGGUGGAACAUUGACAUUGAUGCCGGCUGAUGUGUCGGGCUGCUAGUACGCCUCCUUGUGGGGUGGGAACGUGGUCUGGUGUGUCGAGGGCAUGUUGCACGCUGUUGGGUCCUGAGGGACCGGGCCGCACCUUCUGGGUGUGUCUGGUUUCUUGUCGGACCCUUUCCGUCGUCCUGUUGUGGAUGGUGGUGGGGUACCGCCCGUAUAUUGAGAACUACACAGUGGACGCGAGCAUCUUAGAUUCACCGGUUUUCCGGUGGAUCACAAAGAUCUAUUUAUAGAUCAUUGGUCAAUUCUGUCUCCCUUCGGGGAGGCGAAACGAUUCAAUCUCAUGUGAUUUCAAGAUUCUAAGAGCAAACGGUGGAUGCCUUGGCAUCUGGAGCCGAAGAAGGACGUAUAAAUCUGCGAUAAGCCUCGGGGAGCUGAUAAUAGAGCUUUGAUCCGAGGAUCUCCGAAUGGGGAAACCCCGCCAGGCCCUUUGGGUGACCUGGUGACUCCCGCCUGAAUAUAUAGGGCGGGUAGAGGGAACGUGGGGAAGUGAAACAUCUCAGUACCCACAGGAAGAGAAAGCAAAAGCGAUUCCGUUAGUAGUGGCGAGCGAAACCGGAAGAGGCCAAACCGAUCAUGUGUGAUAUCCGGUAGGAGUUGCAUGGUCGGGGUUGCGGGACUUUCCGUACAGUUCUACCGAGCUGUGAGGGCAAUGAGCGCGAUAUAGACGAAUGGUCUUGAAAGGCCAGUCAUAGAGGGUGCGAACCCCGUAGUCGAAAUGUCGUCGCCUGUCCGGAGAGUAUCCCAAGUAGCACGGGGCCCGAGAAAUCCCGUGUGAAUCUGUCAGGACCACCUGAUAAGCCUAAAUACUCCCAGAUGACCGAUAGCGGACAAGUACCGUGAGGGAAAGGUGAAAAGUACCCCGGGAGGGGAGUGAAAUAGUACCUGAAACCGUUUGCUUACAAACCGUUGGAGCACCCUUGUUGGUGUGACAGCGUGCCUUUUGAAGAAUGAGCCUGCGAGUUAGUGAUAUGUGGCGAGGUUAACCCGUGAGGGGCAGCCGUAGCGAAAGCGAGUCUUAAUAGGGCGUAUGAGUCGCAUGUUCUAGACCCGAAGCGAAGUGAUCUAUCCAUGGCCAGGUUGAAGCGACGGUAAGACGUCGUGGAGGACCGAACCCACUUCAGUUGAAAAUGGAGGGGAUGAGCUGUGGAUAGGGGUGAAAGGCCAAUCAAACUUCGUGAUAGCUGGUUCUCUCCGAAAUGCAUUUAGGUGCAGCGUUGCGUGUUUCUUGCCGGAGGUAGAGCUACUGGAUGGACGAUGGGCCCCAAAAGGUUACUGACUUCAGCCAAACUCCGAAUGCCGGUAAGUGAGAGCGCAGCAGUGAGACGGUGGGGGAUAAGCUUCAUCGUCGAGAGGGAAACAACCCAGACCACCAUCUAAGGUCCCUAAGCGCGUGCUAAGUGGGAAAGGAUGUGGAGUUGCAUAGACAACCAGGAGGUUGGCUUAGAAGCAGCCACCCUUGAAAGAGUGCGUAAUAGCUCACUGGUCAAGUGAUUCCGCGCCGACAAUGUAACGGGGCUCAAGCACGCCACCGAAGUUGUGGCAUUUAUAUUAUAGGCAGGCCUUCGUGGUCCAGUCGUAUGGAUGGGUAGGAGAGCGUCGUGUGGCCAGCGAAGCGGCGGUGUGAACCAGCCGUGGAGGCCACACGAGUGAGAAUGCAGGCAUGAGUAGCGAAAGACGGGUGAGAAACCCGUCCUCCGAAAGACCAAGGGUUCCAGGGCCAGGCUAAUCCGCCCUGGGUAAGUCGGGACCUAAGGCGAGGCCGACAGGCGUAGUCGAUGGACAACGGGUUGAUAUUCCCGUACCGAUGAAGAACCGCCCAAGACAAUCCAGUAAUGCUAAGUGUCUGAAUCCUUGAUUCGAUCCCUUCGGGGUGACGGUCUUGGCCUAGCACACGACCCUACGCUGGGGCGUUUAGCGUAUUAACAGGUGUGACGCAGGAAGGUAGCUGAGCCGGGCGAUGGUUGUCCCGGUCUAAGGAUGUAGGGCAGAAGAUAGGCAAAUCCGUCUUCUAUGUAGCCUGAGACCCGAUGGGUAGUCCUCACGGACGAAAUCAGUGAUCCUAUGCUGCCGAGAAAAGCAUCGACGCGAGGUUCCAAUCGCCCGUACCCCAAACCGACUCAGGUGGUCAGGUAGAGAAUACUAAGGAGAUCGAGAGAAUCGUGGUUAAGGAACUCGGCAAAAUGCCCCCGUAACUUCGGGAGAAGGGGGGCCUGAGGCGUGUAGGGAUUUACUCCUGAAGCGUUUGAAGGCCGCAGAGACCAGUGGGAAGCGACUGUUUACUAAAAACACAGGUCCGUGCUAAGUCGCAAGACGAUGUAUACGGACUGACGCCUGCCCGGUGCUGGAAGGUUAAGAGGAACGGUUAGCACGCAAGUGCGAAGCUGAGAAUUUAAGCCCCAGUAAACGGCGGUGGUAACUAUAACCAUCCUAAGGUAGCGAAAUUCCUUGUCGGGUAAGUUCCGACCUGCACGAAUGGCGUAACGACUUCCCAGCUGUCUCAACCGCGAACUCGGCGAAAUUGCACUACGAGUAAAGAUGCUCGUUACGCGCAGCAGGACGGAAAGACCCCGUGACCUUUACUACAGCUUGGUAUUGGUGUUCGGUGUGGCUUGUGUAGGAUAGGUGGGAGACUGUGAAGCUCGGACGCUAGUUCGGGUGGAGUCAUUGUUGAAAUACCACUCUGGUCACUCUGGAUAUCUAACUUCGAACCGUAAUCCGGUUCAGGGACAGUGCCUGGUGGGUAGUUUAACUGGGGCGGUUGCCUCCUAAAGAGUAACGGAGGCGCCCAAAGGUUCCCUCAACCUGGUUGGUAAUCAGGUGUCGAGUGUAAGUGCACAAGGGAGCUUGACUGUGAGACUGACAAGUCGAGCAGGGACGAAAGUCGGGACUAGUGAUCCGGCAGUGGCUUGUGGAAGCGCUGUCGCUCAACGGAUAAAAGGUACCUCGGGGAUAACAGGCUGAUCUUGCCCAAGAGUCCAUAUCGACGGCAUGGUUUGGCACCUCGAUGUCGGCUCGUCGCAUCCUGGGGCUGGAGUAGGUCCCAAGGGUUGGGCUGUUCGCCCAUUAAAGCGGUACGCGAGCUGGGUUUAGAACGUCGUGAGACAGUUCGGUCCCUAUCCGCUGUGCGCGUAGGAAAUUUGAGAAGAUCUAUCCCUAGUACGAGAGGACCGGGAUGGACGAACCUCUGGUGUGUCAGUUGUUCCGCCAGGAGCACCGCUGAUUAGCUACGUUCGGAACGGAUAACCGCUGAAAGCAUCUAAGCGGGAAGCCGGCUUCGAGAUGAGAUUUCCAUCCCUUUUAGGGUGAAGGCUCCCGGCUAGACUACCGGGUUGAUAGGCAGGAUGUGGAAGCGAGGACUAAAGACUCGUGGAGCUGACCUGUACUAAUAAGCCGAUAUCUUGAAAACACUUUGCUUGCGUCCACUAUGUGGUUCCCGAUAUACGGUCGGGUGCUAAUUGAACAACCAGCUUGACUGGUCGAUUCAUCACAGAUUUCAUGCCCCGUGUGGGUGUGUAUGAGGUGUUUCGGCGGCCAUAGCGAGAGGGAAACGCCCGGUCACAUUCCGAACCCGGAAGCUAAGACUCUCAGCGCCGAUGGUACUGCAGGGGGGACCCUGUGGGAGAGUAGGACACCGCCGGACUUAACUUGAGAAUGAUCGGGGAGGCCCGUCGCACAUCGUGCGGCGGGCCUUUCUGCGUUAACACCCGAACCACA